AAAAACCAAGCUCAUGUUCAUUAAAGCUCGCUCAUAUAACUCGUGAGCUAAAUAAAGCUCGAUCACUAAACUCAUUUAUUAAAUGAUCCUUAAAAAUAGAACUCGCGCUCAUGAAUAACUGAGCCGAGUUGAGCCAGCUCAUGAGCUAUCAGCUUAUUUUGACACCCCUAGCUAUAACCAAAACUGAAGAUCUCUUGAGUGUUGCAUCAAACUACUAUUUUUAAUCAAUAGUUAGCUUUUUUUUGUUAUAUU
This 252-nucleotide small RNA is filed under the name Arabidopsis thaliana (thale cress). RNAcentral's name for it is "ATSL018810". The record is from RNAcentral. Lineage: Eukaryota; Viridiplantae; Streptophyta; Magnoliopsida; Brassicales; Brassicaceae.